GGGGAUGAAAUGGUUUCGACAGGGGAGGCUAGGCUGGGACUGCAAGCCGAGGCGCCUGGACCGCGUUAAAACUGGGCAAAACCAAAAGUGCCAAACAGCGCACUCAACCCGCUAUGGCGCUCGCCGCGUAAGCGGUGGCGUAGUAGCCUGACCGCUUGACGGUCACGUCCACCCUUUCCCUCCCCCGGGGGUAAAGAUCGGUGGGCGACAGCAAACCGGGGGUGCACUCCCACUUACGCCGAUACGUGGGAUCAAAGGCAGGGACACUAUGAACCCUGCAUCGGCUGGUCUGGGUAGCAGCCUGUUGGUCGGCGGCUGCCCAGGCGAGAACCAAAAGGUCAACUAAGCUUGUAGUAUGUCCCUGCUCGAAUCUUCUGGACGCGGGUUCGACUCCCGCCAUCUCCACCA
Molecule: transfer-messenger RNA, 408 nt
Filed under: Anaerolineae bacterium
Lineage: Bacteria; Bacillati; Chloroflexota; Anaerolineae
Rfam family: transfer-messenger RNA
About the family: Bacterial tmRNA, also known as 10Sa RNA or SsrA, is named for its dual tRNA and mRNA-like properties.
Source: RNAcentral